Molecule: non-coding RNA, 8441 nt
Organism: Drosophila melanogaster (fruit fly)
Lineage: Eukaryota; Metazoa; Arthropoda; Insecta; Diptera; Drosophilidae
Source: Ensembl
AAGACCCAUAAUUAUACUACUCGUAGGCUCUAAAUGAUAAUUAUCAUUAAAACAAAGAAGAUACAAAAGGCGAAUAUCAAUUACGGGCUGAGAACAGGAAAGAUCUGUCAAAUGUAAAUGCCUUUCUCCACGCCGACGAUCAGAUCAUCAUCUUUCCCCAUUUGUGCUUUGGCAUUUCCGUAGCUUCUUUUCUUCCCACCCCCUCCCAAAGAAUACCAUGCUGAGGUAUGUAGAUAUAUGUCGCAAAGAAAGAAAGAGUUCCGAGCUCCAAUGCUUAAUGCUCAAUGCUCAAUGAAUUGUAUUACAAUGCGAAAGCCGUGGGGCAAAAGUAAAAAAUAAUAAUAAUAAUAAAAUCAGAGGAAAAGACCGUACAAAGCCCAGUUCCAAUAGGGACUCUCGUCGACAGUUGUCCAAGCCGGAAGUGUCGCAUACUUUUACGGAUACACCGGCUUAAUUAUGCGCAUAAAAUGUAAGAACAACAAAAACAGCAUCCCCAUCAAGACGAUGGAGCAGCGGGCAAUGUCGGGCUUGAAAUGACAAAACACAAACAUUAAUUGCUCCACAUUCACAUUCACGUUCACAUUGUGAUGCGGGGGCGGGGUAGGAAAAUCAGAAUGGAUGGAUGGGGAUCCAGAAGGAGGAGGCGUACAUAUGCUCUGGGGACUGACUGACUCGUAUUCCCCCAGGAUUUGAGUGGAAAAGAAAGCGAACAGGGUAGCGAAAGGUGCACUGAAAGAAAGCCAAGCAGAAUUAUUCAAAUAAUAAUCAAAUAAUAAUCAAAUGUUUUAAAACCGAUUUGUAAUCAUGUUGUUUAAACUUUGUUAAACUUAGAAUUGUAAUCCACAAGUUCUCUACAUUAUAAUUUUCGCUGAAAUAUUCAUUUUUUGAGUGACACAAAAACUUUAAAUAUGACUCUAUAGAUGCCAGAUGUAAACCAGUUUAAUUGAAGCAUAUAGUCCCCCUCGGGAAAAGGUAGAAUAUUAGUCAUACGGUGAUAUACAGAUUUUGCAGUCAGUUUAUCCAGUAUUAUGUCAUGCUUAAAUCAAAUAUUAAAACAAUAUCGGUACAUAAUGAUUUUUACUGCUCUCAAGGUUUCAAAAAUUUACUUACAUUGAACGGACAAGAAUGAUUCAUGUUCGAAAAUUCUUUAAAUGUGUCGAAAAAGUAGCUAGCAACGGGACUGUACUUCGGAUUCUUGACGAGCUUGCAACAAUCCACUGUUAUAUUGUACAGAAAGGGUUUGUAUCCAUUGUGUCGUUGAAACAGUGCUCCAUUAACCUAAGUCACAAGUCUAGAGUUUUUCGAAAAAGGCAUUCUGUUUUUUCAUACCUUAGCAUUGGUUACUGGCAAUUGUAGCAAUUUUAAUUUAACCGAAAUAUACUUGUAUGUCCUGUUCACAGACUUUAGAUAGCAGUAUUCAAAUUCGCUAAAUUCCUUAUCCACAGCCUCACAAUUUAUAUUUUUAAACUCGAGCAUGGCAGUUGUCUAAAAUGUAAGUUAUCCUCUGUUAAAAGACUGAUUUUAGGCAUGAUUUAAGUGCAUAUCUACUCACUUUGCUGGCCAAUUGCAUGGCUAGCCACAAAGUAAGCAAAAGGCUUAGCUUUGUAUACAUCCUAAGUCAUCGGUGAUCACGCCCAAACUAAUUUUGAAAUGCGUGGCUCUAGCUAAUACGAGUAUUAUCAUAUAACUAAUAUCAAAUCAAUUAAAAUGCGAUUAGACUCGCAACAAUUUGAAAAUAUAAUUGACUUCAUUUGAACAUUUUUUUACAUUUUUUUUUUUUUUUAUAUUUUUUUUACAUUUUGUUUUUAAUUGAAAUUCAAUUAAUCAACAUUGAACUUAGCUUUUCACCCAAUUUCUUUUGAGUGUAAUCACAGCGACUCCAUUCAGAGAAGCGGCUUAUAAUUUAUUAAUCUAUGCAUAGAGCCCAACAAAUACUCGUACUCGACUCGCAAUGCCCCUGCCCGCCCCCACUUUGCCCCACUCUCGAGUGGUGGAAGGUGUUGGCAGUGGGUCCGUCUCCUCGUCAGACAGUCCGUCGCUAUCCGCUGCCAUCCGUUGCUAUAUAGCCUGAAUAUACGGACCACUACAUGUCACUUUAAUCUCUUGGAAGUGUCACUUUUGCAGCUCUCCAAGUGUUGCUGCCGUUGAUGUUGCCUGUGCCCCGGGUUUUGUUUGGGAUGCCGUUCGAGGGUCCCAGCGAAAGGGGUUCGGGGGCGUUGUAAACAAUGUGCUGUUAUAGUUGAAUUUGAAUUUUCAUUUUGAUAAGCAACAAAAAGGCAUAAUCACACAUCAAAUUGCAUGUCGGGCCAGAGGGGCUCGGAUCGGUCGGUCGGUCGGUUGGUUUGGUUCGUUUUGGUUUCGGGCUCGGAAAAGUGAUGUCGGAACUGAAGGGGAUUGGGAGUGCUGGCCAAGGCGAACCUUAUGGUAAUGAAGUAUAGCAGCUGUUUUUGAGUUGAAUUUGAAUAAAAAGCGAGUGCAGGGGGAUGGAUGGUGGCGGUUGCCAGUCACUGAUUUACAUUUGAUACAGAGACCGAGCCUCGGACUACUUGAACAAUCAGAUUCAAUUUGUGCCACGCAUUCGUUUUCGUUUUCAUUUUCAUUUUCUUGAUCUGCCCCCCUGAACAACAAGUGAUGGUGACGAUCAAGUGUACGGCCCCUACAGUAGAUUAUGCUCUAUUUGAUUUAGGCAUGGAUUUUAUUAUUAUACUUUUGGUGGCUUUAUUAUUACAAUGGCGCCUCGAGUGCCGAAACGCAAUCUUCAUUUAUCUCGUAUUUAUCUUUAUCUCGACUGUGUGGGCUCAUCUUCGAAAUGGACAAACACAAAAGCUGGGCAUUAUUUAGUUUGUCGCCGUGUCCCCGGUUUCAACUUGUUUUCGAGGUUACCAUAAUAAACAGCCCCACCUGCGCCAUUCGCGCACACACAUCAUUUCCAUGUAAAGUUAUAAAAUGUUUCACAAAUCCAUAAAAACCCAAAAGGUAAAGAAUCUGAGGCGUGCGUUUAGGUCCACCCAAAUCCCCUGUCCGAUCCCAUGCCAUACUAUUCCACUCCAUGCCAUACCAUACCACUCUACUCCAUUCCAUUCCAUGCCACCAGAAUCCCAGGUGCAAUGCGUGUUGCAGUUGAGCUCUCUGCGAUGUUGUUGUUUUGUUUCUGCUCCGGCUUUUGUUUUCCGCAUUUCGGGUCAGGUAGAGCGGAGCAUCUUCCUCGACGCCCCUAAAAGCCUUCGCAUUGUUCUCGCCAGUAGAAGUGAAAUAUGUUGCAGCGAGCAUGCUGCUGCAUCACCGGGAUUAGGACAGGUAAGGUUGUAAAUUUCACCAGCCACGGGAGUCGACCCUGGAGUCAAAAGGUUGACGAGUAAAUGUGGAAACCCUAGUUCCAGCAAGGAAUAAGGGUAUACCAAAAAAAUGAUAGCCCUCAAGUAAUCUCACAAAGAGGGUAAACAAAUCGUUAAGAAAAAUUCAUAAAUUCGCUAAAUUAAUAACAUAACAAAACGGCAUAAUGACAUAACCAAAGAAAUAUCAUAAUGAAAAUCUCUCUUUUACACAAGAAACCAUCAUAAUUCCCCAAUCCUUGUGACAUAGCAACGCACUAAAAUUAUGGUUAAAUUUGCCAAAGCAAGGAAACCCCGGAGUUUAUCUGCUAAUAACAAUAAAAUGCCAUCAAUGGUUCGUAUUUUGUCAGGCUCAAUAAAAACAACAGCAUAAAUGAAACAUAGCCACAAAGUACUUUCAUUCCGUCAUAUGUCUGGCCAAUAAAGCGGAAGUUUGGGCCCCCAACCAAUGCCCAUGGUUGUACAUAAAUCAAGUUAUUCUUUAUUAAUUCUUAGGCGAAGCAUAAAGUAAAUAUCUUCGAGGACUGGCAGACGCAGCAAAGCAAACAUAAAUUUGGAGCUCUAUUAAUCUGGAGGUCAUAAUCCAUCGAACCACCCUCUUUGGGAUAUUUGAAGCGAUGCCUUGGGAUUUGGGAUAUAUUUUAAAGACAUUUUUAAAUAGAAUAGAAUAAAUAAAUAAAUAUCCUUAUAAGAACUUAACUAUUGUUAAAUUCAUGUCAACUUUAAUAUAAAAUCAAGUGCAUCAAGAAGACAUAUUUGUCAGCUUCAAUUUAAAAGCCAAAAUUACUAUUUUGUGAAAAUGCCCAAGAACAUGCGACCGAUAUUGUUAAAUGGAAAUUUCUUUGGUCUGCCCCGUGUCCUGUGUCCUUCUGCCCCAGCACCACCACCCCCCCCCCCCCUCCGUUUACACUCCAAGUGACGCACACGCAUCGUAUCAAAUUUCAUGGCUGCCGCAUGGGUGUGCGUGGGUAUCUGUGAGUGCUGCGUCGUAUCCAGGUUCGUUUCGUAUCUUUUGCUCUUCCACUGGCGGCGUGUUGAUGACAGAUUUCGUCCGUCUGUCCGUCCGUCCAUCCGUUCGUCGCUGUGUCGUUUCAUUUUCGUUUCGUUGAAGUCAUUUUUACUCAUUUAUUGUCACCGUUAGAGUACGUCAGAGAGUGUGUGUAUAUAUCCUUACAAGUACUCGGGAACCCUGCAGGCGGUCAUCCAUGGUAUUGAUUCCACUUCCAUCUCCACUUCCAUUUCCAUUUCCAUUCCCAUACCGACUUCCCACAUCCAUUUCGCCCGCCACAGCGGGGCACUCAGUCAGUCAAUUGACAUGACUCAACAACAGGCGAAUGUCCCUGCGAUUCCCUCGCCGUUCGUGCUCCUCCAUUUUUGUAUUCUUAUUAAAUAUUUAAAAGCUUUGGCCUUUGUUUCUCCAACUGCCCGGGCCAGGCAAAUACUUAAUAAUUUCAUUCCGUUUCUUCAGUCGCACCGCAGGUUGCCUCCUGCCUCCACUUUAUCAUCAUGCCAGCCCGGCCAUCCUGCCUUUUUGACAAACUGCACGCACAGCGGCAACUUUAAAAUUAUGGUUUGUUGCAUUUUAAAUACAAAUUAUACACCAAAGGCUCUGACUCACCGAGCGCAAAGGAACUCGUAACUCGUAACUCGGGAGGCAGUGGAACAAGUGGGUCAGGUAAGACAAUGAAUGGUCAUUAACCGCCCUGCUUCGAAGGGAAAACCCCGGCAGUUUUGAUCCUAGUCCAUGCGAGGGUUGCUCAAGAAGCGGGGAUGAUUUCACAUUGCGGCAUGGAUUGGAAUGCUCUUUUUUUUCAUGUUUUGGGCAAGUCAAGUGAGUUGACACCUUUAAAUGUCUAAAAAAAAAUAUAUCUGUUGGUGCUGACUGGUGACCCCAUUUGUGGGGUGACCCUGCCAUGUGGUGACACCUUAACAGUUAGCCAAGUGGCCAGACUAUUUCCCUCCACGAGAUGACCCCAUCCUAAGUGGUAGAAUAUAUUCUAUUCAUCGUGGUUUGCCCCCCCGUAGAGGCCAUAAAAAGUUCUCACACUUGGCUGUCAACCAACUCAAAUGUUCUCAUAUGCGUGGUGGAACAAGAAAGAACGAAGGAGAGCCCAUUAAAAAAUUGAUCUAACCUGACCUCCAUAACGAAAUGAAAGACCCAAUUAGCUGCUUAUAAAAUUGAUCAUGGCAAACGAAGACUUGCAAUAUAAGGAUGCCACCCUGAAAAGGUGACCCCAAUUUGGUGGCUACCCUUCUCAAAAGUGAAACGUCGAGAAGUUAUCAAAUUACUUAAAAGUUCAUACAGAAAACGGAGGAUCCAUAUGGAUAUUUUUAUGGAACUGGAACUGCACAGCACUUUAUAUAAAUUUAGAAUAUGGAUUUUUGGUAUUGAUUUCCGAAUGAAAUAAAUAAGUAAAAAUUUAAGUUUUUUUUUUUUUAAAUAAUAAACAUUACUGGUCCGAAAAUAAACCAUAUUUUUUGUCUUGUUCAUGCACACUGCCACAGAUUUCCCAUAUCUUUUGAGCACUCCUCGCCGUGGAACCUUUCAGGUUGCAGCUGCAGGUACACAGGGUGCAAGUGGCGCCCUUCGCCGACAUGGUUAUCAAAAGGGAAACCAGGGAGUGGCCACGUGAACGCAAGAGGACAAUGGAGUGAACCAAGUGAAUAGAACCUAAAAGUAUAAUAUGACAAUUGUUGGAAAUUUUCCAAAGAGGGCGGGCGGCGGCACUAACUAUAUGCUACGGCCAUACCAUACCAUAUGCGGUUGCCCAUAAAGGAAAUGAAAAAGAGAUUCACCGAUGGCCUCAGGUGGGUUUGCAAGGCGGGGAUAAUUGCAUCGGACUGUUUGGAGAAUGAUGGACUCGGGUUGUGGGACUGGCACUGGUACUUCGACUGCGACUGGGACUGGAUUAGUGGCGAGUGGUUUCCCGGCUGGCAUUUGGCAUUUAAAGUGCCAAACUUCUUUGGGGAGCACGGGGUUUCAAGUGGAUGAAGGGCAGACCUAUUUGCAAAGCCUCCUGCCCGCCAUCUGCAUCUGCAUCGUUCGUCUAACACUCAUUUCAACUCAAGUUGCGCUCGCGCACGGCAAAUAUGCCUGGAAUUUUUCAGCCCUUUUUGCAGCAACAGCCGUAGAAGUAGCUUCACAUGGUGGCACUUGCUCCACUCGUCUGAUUCCAGCAAAUAUUUGCAAAUUUACGUUGACCCGGGGAACUGGGACGGUGCGGCGGCAUUAGCGACAACUGUCGUGGAGUGGCACUUAAUGAGCGGCGACUGGAGCUCCUCUUACUGCCAUUUCCACCGCUGCUCCGCUGCGUGGUGCGGUGCGGUGCAGUGCGGUGCGGUGUGGUUAUGUGCUACUGUUACUGCAGUGGCCCGCAUGUCGGACGAAAACCAGAGAGAUUGGGACGGACAAGGUACCAGGGACGAUUGCAGACCAGAGAACCCCAGACCAGAGACAAUCCAGCUGGAGUUAUGCACGAUGGCCAUGCAAUUGGCGUGGCAGCAGCAGUAGCUGUAGUAGCAGCAGUAGCAUCUGCUAUAGCAAAAUCUAUCUUUCGGAUGCGAAACCUUGCGGCUGGUACGCCAGUUUCACUUUGUUUUGCUUCGUUACAUUUCGUUUCGUUGCCUGUUUGUGCCACAUAUUCUACUUCUGCUUCCUCUACUCGUUGUUGUUUAGCACUGCAGUAAUUUGACUUGAUUUGUUUAAGCUGACACACGGACACAGAUGCUGAUGAUGAUGCUGAUGCAAGUUGCAUUCGUUGCAGUUCAAGUUGAAGUUGAAGUUCAUGGGGGGCCACUGCACUUGCGCAAUUAUACGCUUAUUAGGAGAACUCUUUCACGGAUUAAGUCAUUAUUGCAUUCAACUCUGGGCGCCACUUGAAGCCACUUAUCACAUUUCAAUCGGUUCAACUUACAUAAACAGUCAAUUAAUCGCGUCAAAAGAAACAUGCCUUUAAUCUCCUUAAAAAUAUGCCCAUAAAAAGUGCAUGAAAUGUAACAUCAUAAAUGAACAAAACUUACAUAAAUCAAAAUGUAACACACAGCGCAAUGCACAUAAAAUUCACUGCAAAAGUUACAUCACUCACAGAAAAUAGGUGCAGAGAAGUCCUUUCAUAAACUUCUAAACUAAUGAAAGUAGAAAACAAUCGUAUUCUUCUAACCCAAAAGCCAUUUUGAACUGUUUUUAUUUAGAUAAUAAGCUAAUAAGAAGAAUAAUUAUUUUUAUAUAGCAUUAUUACUUGUUUAUAUAAAUUAAUAUUAAAUUACCGCCAACAGGAUACGAAAGACUUCCCUUCGGAAAAAUGGAUUUUAAAACCCUGUUAAUACUAGCAUAACCAAAAGUUCAGUUUCAACCGCAACUUAUUCAAAGUUAAGCCCAUUAAUAAUUUCGUAUUGAGUUAUCGUCGUGAUUAAUCCCCGUCCGUUUCGAAUUUGGCUCAGUGUACGCCCGUUUACUGGGCGACUCUACCCCCGAUGACAAAUGUGCCGCUGCCAUGUAAUCGCAUUAAACGUUCGCCGCUGUAGCUUCACACCCCCCCCUUUUUCCGGGUGGCCAGCGCUCCUGGAUUUUCGCCCGUUGCAUAUGUUGCGCUCAUUAAAUUGGUAUUUAUAAUGGCCCUGGCUAAAUCGCCGCCCAUUCGCCACGCCCCUCGCUUACUGUGAAGUAUUACGAGUUCGUCUAUGGGUAUUACGUGCAAGCACUGCAUCGCAGCGAGCGGUAUGAGUAUGGGUAUGAUGAUGAUGGCAAUCAUCAUAAUUUUUCGGCAGCUCCACCGGAGAAGCACAAAAAGCGCAAAUCGAACGAAACAUCGACGGGGGGAGGGGGAAGCUGAAAAGAUAGAAAUUGGUCGACGAGCCUGCAAUUGACAAUCUACAAUCGACAGCGUCUAGGCAAAUUGCGAAAUUAAUUAAAUUUUAGCACAACUUUCGAACGGUACAAAAACUCAGCACUGGCUGGUUGAAUGUUGCUGUUGUAGCUGUUGUUGCUGUGCGUUGAUUGCCGCUCUGCGGUUGCUGCGGUCGCUGGUUGGGAAUAAAGGGGGUAACAAGCGGUGGGUUACGGGUAAUGGGUAGCGGCAAGCGGAGGACCUGGAGUGGACCGCACCGAUG